AGUGAACGCUGGCGGUAGGCCUAACACAUGCAAGUCGAACGGCAGCACAGUAAGAGCUUGCUCUUACGGGUGGCGAGUGGCGGACGGGUGAGGAAUACAUCGGAAUCUACUUUUUCGUGGGGGAUAACGUAGGGAAACUUACGCUAAUACCGCAUACGACCUACGGGUGAAAGCAGGGGAUCUUCGGACCUCGCGCGAUUGAAUGAGCCGAUGUCGGAUUAGCUAGUUGGCGGGGUAAAGGCCCACCAAGGCGACGAUCCGUAGCUGGUCUGAGAGGAUGAUCAGCCACACUGGAACUGAGACACGGUCCAGACUCCUACGGGAGGCAGCAGUGGGGAAUAUUGGACAAAGGGCGCAAGCCUGAUCCAGCCAUACCGCGUGGGUGAAGAAGGCCUUCGGGUUGUAAGGCCCUUUUGUUGGGAAAGAAAAGCAGCAGGUUAAUACCCCGCUGUUCUGACGGUACCCAAAGAAUAAGCACCGGCUAACUUCGUG
RNAcentral lists this ribosomal RNA (492 nucleotides) under uncultured bacterium. RNAcentral's name for it is "partial 16S ribosomal RNA". It matches the Rfam family "Bacterial small subunit ribosomal RNA", at positions 29 to 507 of the family's 1533-position model. The record is from RNAcentral.